UACAUAUUUGCCCAAAGUCACACAGCAAGUAAGGGGUAGAGCUGGAAUUCAAACCCAGGCUCAUUUCCCUUUAAAGCACAUCCAUGCCCUUGCCAUUGGGUACCUGCUUUAAGAAGUGUGUGUCCGUAGGUAAGAAGCAAACUACGGAGCAGGCUGAGCCACAACGUAAACAUGCAGCAUAUUCCUAGAUAUAAAUUUUAUUAAAAGACCAAUAUUAAGGUGGAUAAAAAUGCGUACAAUAGGCAACCACUUAUCUAAGAAAGAAAGGAGGAAUAUGAAUACAUAUACUUAUUUACUUACAUUUUACAAAAUGGAAAGAUAAACCAAAAAGGUUUUUUUAAUGUUUAUCUAUUGAAGAGCGGAGGAAACAACAUGGAGGACAGGGUAGAAGGCAGACAUCCCUGAUUAUAUCUUAUUUUGUAGAUUUGACUUUAGAAUCAUGUAAAUAUUUUACAUAAUAACAAUAAAAUUAAGUAAAUACGUAAGAAAAAGCUAAAGCAAAAUGAAACAAAUGAACUUAACUAUCUAUUGAUUUGGUACCAUAACCACAUAGAGAAAAACUAUUUCAAGUCAUUUAAAACCUAUUAAUUGACUGUAUAUGCAUUCCCCUAGUGGGAUAUACACUAAUAAAGCAAAUAAGUAAUGGUAUUAGUGUUCUUGGUGUUUUUUGGUGUGGGAGAAACAAACAAACAAAACAAAAUGAAAGAUCAAUGAAUAUAAGUGAAAUCCCUGUAGUCCUGGAUUUAAUUAUUAGUAAUGACUCUUGAUGCAUUUUAUCUUUUUUAAAAAUGUAUUUCUGGGCCAGUCCUGGUGGCCUAGUGGUUAAGUUUGGUGCACUCUGCUUCGGUGGCUUGGGUUCACUUCCUGGACGUGGACCUACACCACUCGUCUGUCAGUGGCCAUGCUGUAGCGGCAGCUCACUUACAAAAAGAGGAAGAUCGGCAGCAGAUGUUAGCUCAAGAUGAAUCUUCCUCAGCAAAAAAAAAAAAAAAAAUUCCUGGCUCUGUCCACUGAAAAGGACAAGAAACUGAUGAACUCAGUAGCAAUAAACACCUCUAGUCUCCAGAUUGUGGUCUUUAAAUACCAUUUUGCACUAAAAGGAACCAGGACUCUUUGGGGAAAGGUAAGAUGCCAAGUCUGAGACAGGAAAUAUACCAGAUAAUUCUGGAAAUCUUGUCAUAACGGAAAGCAAGGAAGUUAUGAAAGACUACUAGAUUCAUGUCAAAGGACUUAAGUGCCAAUUAGAGGCUCGCAUUGACCAAUGAUGAGAUAAUCGAGCAUCAGUGGAUAUAACAACUACAACUGAUUGAAACUCCUCAAAUAUAUUUGAGUCCAUGAGUACAUAACUAUACUUAAAAGAAAAACCUUAUUGAUCUUCUUUGGAGGAUGUUAGGGAACCAACUCAUCAUUUGGGAAACUGAUAAAUAAAGAGAAAGAAUCAAGUAUUUCUACUGCCUUUCUUAUAUGAAUUGUACCUCAAGAAAAUCAAAUAGUGGGUGAGGGGAAAUUUCUCUUUAUAGAAGUCUUCCAGCUAACAAAUAGAGAAGGAAUGGAUAGAGUUAGAAUAUCAACAUUUUGCAAUCCUUAAUAGAAUAAUAGACCUAGGCAACUAUCAUCAAUGGCUAUUAAUUUCAGAAAAAGAGAAACAACAGAACAUUAUGUGCCUCUUGAUGAAAAUACAAAAAAAUCUCAAAAAAAGAAAACGAAAAAUUCUAUUAAAUAGUGUUUCCAAAAAAUCAAACCUGAAUCUGAUCAAGCCUCUAGAUGUAACUACCAUUUUACAGAAAAUACUAUGAACAGAGGAACCACAAGGAUGCAAUCUGAUUUAGGCUCUUGCUUGUGUAAUUUCCCCAGGCUGUGAGAAACUUUCAUGCAAAUAAUCUGGCUUCCUCAAGAAAGAAACUACAAGGGGGAAAAUAAAUAGACUAAAAGAAACUUAAGAAACAUAUCAACUAAUUGCAAUAUAUUUGAAUUCUGGAAGUAGUUAAAAAGAGGAAGAGGAGGAAGAACAGGAAGAAUAGUUAUGAGGUAACCAAGGAAAUGUAAGCACGGCGUUAACUGCGCAUCAUGAAGUCUUUUAGAUGUGCUAGUCAUACUAUGGCCAUUUUUUAAAGUCUUUUUAAUUUUAGAAAUAUAAGCUGAAAUAUUUACAGAUUAAAUGAUGUAUUGUCUGAGAUUUGCUAUAAAAUGCUCUUGGGGGGGGUGAAGUGGUUGGGAACAAUGUGGAACAAGACUGGCUAUAAAUUGAUCAUUGUUAGAGCUGGAUGUGUUAUACUAUCCUCUUUAUUUUAUAUAUGUUUGAAAUACUCAAUAAUAAAAAAUUUAAAAACCAUUGUUAUGUUAAAAUAAGCUGGUUAAAUUUGGGGGCAGCCAUCUCUUCCGUGUUGACUUUCAGAAAGCUGAGAACUAUCUUCAAGUGCUGAGCUGUCCAGCUGGAGAUUUUGAAGAAACUGGCCAACCCAAAAGGAAAUACCUCUAGAUUCUGGCAAUUGGGGUCUCUCACAAAAUACCUGGGUCUCGACCAUAUCACUUUUCAGUGAUGUCUACUAAUCAACAGAUCCCAAACUUGCACACAGAGUUCAAGCAGUCUUUUACUGCCUUAUGUUUGUGUACUGAUGAACAGGAAAGGAUAUUAAGGGUUUAAAACAAGCUUCCAACAUGAGAGAUAAAGAUCAGAAUUAACUAUCACAAGAAAAAGAACUUGAAAGAAUCAAAGACAAUUCAGGGAAGAGAAGAAAACUUAAAACAAAAAAUCCGCCUAUAAUUAAUAGUGUCAAAGAAGUAUAAGAAACUCACAUCCAUGAAACAAAACCAGGGUGUAUUUUUAAGGUACAUUCAGAGAAUAAUAAUAAUUUUUGACCCCCUGGAAAUUAAUAUAUACAUGUAUGUAGAUAUGCAUAUAUAUAAAUUAAAAGUAAAAAUAAUUAAUAGAAGUUUUUCAAGGUAAAAUUGAAAACACAUCCAGAAAGUAGAAUGAAUAGCCACAGAGAUGGAACUAGGAAAGAAAAAAUUAGAAAACUAGAGGAUAAAGAGAGAAAGUAUACACAUCUGACUAGUAGGAGUCUCAGAAAAAGUGGACAAAGAAAAUGGAGGUGAGAAAAUUAUAAAAAAGUAAUUUCACAAAUUUCCCAAAAGUGAAGGAUAUGAAUUUCUAGAUUGAAGGGGCCUACCAAAUACCCAGCAUGAAGGAUUUACAAAUUCCCAUACCAAAGUAUAUACUUAUAAAAUUUUAGAACACCAAGGGGUAAAGAGAAUCAUCCAGAAUGAGAGAGAGAGGAGAAAGAAGGGUUAAAUACAACAGUUUGGAAGUAAGAAUGGUAGCAAACCGCUCAACAUCAACAAUGGAAACUAUUAGAUAAUGGAAUAAUACCUUCAAAACUUUUAGGAAAAAUGAUUUCAAAUCUAGAAUGCUAUACCCAGCUAAAGUAUCAAUCAAGUAUGAGUCUAAAGUAAAGUGAAGAAGACACUCUUACUAAUGGGUCUUCCCAAAGAGAGCACCAUUCUGUAAUUUGUUAUCCCAGGAAGUUCCUUUUUUACAAUCCAUCUGUUCAGAGGGGGUGCCUUUUUAAAAAAAUUUACUCUAAAUGGUCAUUUGUGUUAGCAAUGACCUUGAAUGCAAAAAUUGUAGGUCCAGAAAGGAUACUACCAACAAAAAUAUGGUAACAAUAGAUUACAAAACAUGCUUGACAAAAAUAAAAUGUUUCAUAUUUCUAUUGGGAAUUUGGACAUGAAUUAGUAAUAAAUAACUAGAAAAUUUAGCAAACAACCAAAAAAAAACCUGAGGCAAUUAUUAACUUCAAGAAAAACAAAAAGUUAUAUAAGAAAUAAAAUGUGAUGAAAGUCACAACAUGACUCAGCUGUAAAAAAAAAAAAAAGAGAGAGAGAGAGGAAAAGAAAUAUUUACAUAUUUAUAUACACAGACACAGACUAUUGAUUUUACUCCAAAUUGUGAUAUAAGUGUAUUGAGAGAAUGAACAAAGGUAAAGUGAAUAUAGAUGAUGGUAUAAGAAAGCUCAGUCCUCAUCUUCCAUAAUAGUCAAUAGAUAAUAUCUAAAAAAUGAAAAGUCAAAAAUAGCAACACAAACAUGAUAUUUCAAUGGAAAUAGGGAAGUAAAUAUCAGAAGAUACAGCUAAACAAUUUUAAAAUGGUAGCCUAUGAGAAGCUAGUAGGGAAUAGCUAUAACCUUGUGUUAGUUUGCUCUUUGAGCUAUGUAAAUAACUAUUUUAAUGAAAAUUUCAAAGAUACAUAAAAAUAGAGAGAAUAGUACAAUGAACUCCCACAUUCUAAUCACUCAGUUAGCCAUUAGCAAGAUUUUGUUAUGCUUGCUUCAUAAGCAUAUUAGUUUUAAAUUUUCAGAAUUAAAAAAAAUAUAUAAAUUCACACAACAAAUGAAUAAUGUGGCUACCUUUGAGGCACACAAGGAUGGAAGGACUUUUUUCUUUUAAACAGUUUUAUUUUUUAUUUUUAUCUUAUAAAUUCUUCUGCCAUGCACUGUUCUAACUACCUUACAUUCAUUUAAUCCUCAUAACAAUUUGAGGUGGAUACUAGUAUCAGCCCCAUUUGACAGAAGAGAGUUGACAAUCAUUUGAAGUUUUUUCGUUGAGCAGGUGUUCCUUUUUAAACAAUCAUUUUGAAAAAUAAUAGGCCAUAGAAACCUAUUCUCCUUCUCAUAUGACAACCAUUUGGUUAUUUGAAUUCUUUUCUUCUCCAGUAUAAAAAGUCCUGGUUCUUCCAAUGAUGCCUCAAAGGUAGAACUAUUAUACAUUGCAGUUGUUAAUAACACUUUCUGUCACUCUCAGAUGUGUCCCAGUUUAGGUAAUAAAUUUUAUGGUCACUCUACUCAUAGGACUUAGUGUUUAGAUCCUUUACCAUGGGGGUGGCCCUCCCCUGGACAUUACUCUUAAGAAGGGUUCUCAGCCCUGAACGCAGCAAAAUACGGAACCUAGUGGGACCGUUGACCUUCCGUAUUCCAAGCUUUCUGCGUCUACUAAGGCAGCUCGGGAGCCUGGGAGUCAUCAGACUUCUGGCUGUGCCACACAAUUGAUUCACAAUGAAUUAGCUGUCAAAUAAACUUGGUCUUUUUCAAGGGUUUCAUUCUUAAACCAGGGCUUUCAGCCCCAUAUUUGUGCUUCUAAUCUUUUCAACUUGCCUGCAGGACUCCGCAUCCGCCUUCCUCCAAAUGUCAUUCGUUCAUAUAGGGUCAUCGUUCCAGCCUGUCAAGAUCAUUUCGAACAUCAAUUCUGUCAUCCAACCUAUUAAUGAUCCUGUUCCUCUUUGUGUCAUCUGGAAGUGUGAUGAGCUGGACACCUACAUCUUCAUCUGAGCCACUGAUGGAGACAUCACAUGACCAGGACUGAAUCACAGGCCCAAAGACCUCUGGCUGGGAAGACACAAACUCUAUCGUCAUCAUACCUCAUUGGGUACAGUGAGUCACCAGUUAGGAAUCCUCCAAGUAGGUCCAUCACGCAGCCCACAUUUCUUCAUUGUUUCCACAAGGAUAAUAUGACAAACCUCUUCAUGCCUUG
This 5526-nucleotide long non-coding RNA is filed under the name Equus caballus (horse). RNAcentral's name for it is "lncRNA (ENSECAG00000047247.1)". The record is from RNAcentral. Lineage: Eukaryota; Metazoa; Chordata; Mammalia; Perissodactyla; Equidae.